This 410-nucleotide ribosomal RNA is filed under the name Verrucomicrobiota bacterium. RNAcentral describes it as "Verrucomicrobia bacterium partial 16S ribosomal RNA". It matches the Rfam family "Bacterial small subunit ribosomal RNA", at positions 355 to 776 of the family's 1533-position model. The record is from RNAcentral. Lineage: Bacteria; Pseudomonadati; Verrucomicrobiota.
UGGGGAAUCUUGCACAAUGGGCGAAAGCCUGAUGCAGCGACGCCGCGUGCGGGAUGAAGGCCUUCGGGUUGUAAACCGCUUUCAGCAGGGACGAGGCCGCAAGGUGAUGGUACCUGCAGAAGAAGCCCCGGCUAACUACGUGCCAGCAGCCGCGGUAAUACGUAGGGGGCAAGCGUUAUCCGGAUUCAUUGGGCGUAAAGCGCGCGUAGGCGGUUUGUUAGGUCAGGAGUUAAAUCUGGGGGCUCAACCCCUAUCCGCUCCUGAUACCGGCAGGCUUGAGUCUGGUAGGGGAAGGCGGAAUUCCAAGUGUAGCGGUGAAAUGCGCAGAUAUUUGGAAGAACACCGGUGGCGAAGGCGGCCUUCUGGGCCACGACUGACGCUGAGGCGCGAAAGCUAGGGGAGCGAACAGG